This 397-nucleotide ribosomal RNA is filed under the name uncultured bacterium. Its description in RNAcentral is "bacterial SSU rRNA". It matches the Rfam family "Bacterial small subunit ribosomal RNA", at positions 505 to 898 of the family's 1533-position model. The record is from RNAcentral.
GUGUCAGCAGCCGCGGUAAUACGGGGGGAGCAAGCGUUGUUCGGAUUUACUGGGCGUAAAGGGCGCGUAGGCGGUCAGCACAAGUCAGUUGUGAAAUCUCCGGGCUUAACUCGGAAAGGUCAACUGAUACUGUGCGACUAGAGUGCGGAAGGGGCAACUGGAAUUCUCGGUGUAGCGGUGAAAUGCGUAGAUAUCGAGAGGAACACCUGCGGCGAAGGCGGGUUGCUGGGCCGACACUGACGCUGAUGCGCGAAAGCCAGGGGAGCGAACGGGAUUAGAUACCCCGGUAGUCCUGGCCUUAAACGAUGGAUGCUUGGUGUCUGGAGUUUUAUAGUCUCCGGGUGCCGUAGCUAACGCGUUAAGCAUCCCGCCUGGGGAGUACGGUCGCAAGACUGAA